Non-coding RNA from Nomia melanderi (Alkali bee), 2976 nucleotides. Lineage: Eukaryota; Metazoa; Arthropoda; Insecta; Hymenoptera; Halictidae. The record is from RefSeq and is a predicted model, not a curated record.
ACUCUAAAAUAUGUAAAGCCUUUAAUGAUUAAAUGGUGUAUCACUAUAUAAUAAUAAAAUUAUACAAUUCCGAUCAUCUAUGAUCGAAAAAGUGGUGGCUAUCUAAUGUAUAACAUCGAAUGUAAUAAUUCAUUCGAAACCCUUAAUGGACAGCAAUUAUAACACAUCAAAUAUAUUAAUAUUAAACAAAACUACACCGAUGCAACCAAUUCUCUACAGAAAAAAGAUUGUGAGUAAUAUGCCUUUGUAUUUUUACAUCUUCCGUAGUAGUGUUUGCGGUGUAAUAAACGUUCGUAUAUUUACAACGAAUUUCAACACGCGUCAGCAACAUUCAAUUGUCAAAAGCGGUAUAAUAUGCUUUGUCAGUCCUGGAGGUAACGUUCACAACUUACUGCACCGAGGACCGUCACACUUGGUUAACCAAGACAAUCGGGAUCAACGAUCAGUUGCAGCGCACGUGAAGUUAAAGGUAGCCUUGUCGAUCGUCGUCCGGAAUUACUUCAUUCUUCAAAGAUUCUUUCACUUUUCUUUAUCACUGUCCAAACAACAAAUAACCUAAAUUAUCGAACUAUGAUACUGUUUUGUGUCUGAUCACUAUCACGCUACCUAGUUACUGUGAAGUAAUAUACGAGGAUAAAAAGGUAAAGAGGAUACCCUAAAGAACAGAAACGUAGCGUAGACCAAGUGCCGAUAUGCUUUGGAUGGUACUUGCUACGCGCCGUCUUCGAGGUGAUAGAACGUACAAUGUUCGGAGCACCGCGAUACAUUCGAGUGUUUCUAUACUUGUGUACUUGUUGGUCGAUAUUUUGCACAAUUUUUUUUAUUUUCCCGAACUUCCUUGGCGGAAGAGCCCCAGAGAAAUUGGCCUCUAAACAAACGGAAUAUCGGAGAGAAAUAGUGGACGUCAUGAGAAUACCAUCAAGAGAAUCCAAUUUGAAUGACGAACAGAUUGGUAAGAUGACUUCACUUGGAAGGUGGCUUUUGUCUUCUGAGGGAAGUUUUCCACCGCCGAAAAUUAAUACGAAAAAGGAACCCUAUUUGAUUUUAAUUUGGAUGCACGGGAAGUUUUUGGAACGCAGGCACAUCAAACGCUUUACAGACAAACAAUAUUCUCCGUGGGAGGAUUGCUCGGUAUCAGAAUGCGUGAUAUCGUAUCGGCCGAAAGAUAUAGUUAUAGCGGAUGCGGUUAUAUUUCAUUUACACUUAACGAAAGGUGUAUCCGAAUUGCCAAUUAGGAGUCGGCGGGAACAAAGAUGGAUCUUCUUGACCGACGAAUCACCGAUGCACACAUUCCUCUAUGGAAAUCAGCAAAUAUCGGAAUAUAAUGGUUUAUUCAAUUGGUCAAUGACCUAUCGAAUGGACAGCGAUGUUCCGGUACCGUAUGGCCGAGCAAUACCUAGAUCACAUGUAAAUUUUGAAAAAGAUACCUCGAAAGAUGACGUCAAGAAAACAAAAAAGAAAUUGGUUGCUGUGAUGGGCAGCAACUGUGGCGGAGCGAACAAUAGAUGGGGCUACGUGAAAGAGCUUAAAAUGAUUCUUGGUGAUGAUCUCGAUAUAUACGGAAAAUGUUUGAACGGUAACGCGACUGCGUGCCCAGGCCAUUUCUUUAACGAUUGUCACCAUUUAAAUGCUUAUAAGUUCUAUUUAGCCUUCGAGAAUUCCAAUUGCAAAGAAUAUUUAACGGAAAAAGUAUUUUGGAACGGUUAUAAAAAAUUAGCGGUUCCAAUAAUAAUGGGCGCGCCAAAAAGAGAUUGCGAACGAUUGCUACCACCUGAUUCAUACCUACAUGUUUUAGAUUUCGCUAACCCAUCAGCCUUAGCUAAUUAUAUACGAUAUCUUGAUCGUCAUGACGAUAAGUAUCUCGAAUUUCACAAAUGGCGUAAAUAUUACAAAGUAAUCAAUGAACACGGUUAUUUUAAGAGCAUUUCCCGACAUUACUGCCGUGUUUGCCAGGCUUUACAUUACAAUUCUCCUGAUAUUAAAGUAUACGAAAAUUUGCAAUUAUUUUGGAACAAAAAUGAAGAUUGCACCCCUUGAUAUCUUUAAUUACGUUAUGUGGUUGUACAGUAAUGUCAUGAAUAAUGAAAUUCAUAUUAUUUAGUAAUAAUUACUUAAAUUAUUAAAUUAUGGAAUUAUAAUAGAUUAAUUGCAUAUUCAUAGGGCUAAUGUAUCAUAAUAUACGGGUUCCUGAUAUUAUUGUACAAUAGUAAUUGUAACCUGUUAUAAUUACAAGAGAUUUCUAAUCAUUUAGUGGAUUAUAUAACGCAUUGUUGAGGCUAUAAUUUAUUUACAACAAUUUAUCACAUGUUAUAUUUUGUAUGAUGUAAUGCGUAUUAAAGUCGGAUACUAUUAUACGCAAUAAAUACAUAUAUUGUACAUUUCAUAGUAAAUAUAAAGUAAUUAUUUAUAUAUACAUCGCAAAAGUAUUUUAUACAUUAAUUGUUAAAACUUUCAUAAUGACAGUAUUAGGUUAGAAUGUUUCAUCAUGUUUAUGUUAAUGUUUUACGUAAUACAAUAAAAAAUGCUCAAUCCGUGUCACGUAAAGAAUUCCAGCAACGUUUCUGUACCCUUUCAAGACAAUGUCAUAAAAUAGUUUAUUCUAAAGUAUUUCUUCGGAAAAUUUUUACCAAUACUAGUCAUUCACUAUGUACUAGAUUGGUGGAUGUUUCAGUACACAGUACUAUAUCUAUGAAAUUCUGUCUUGUUACUAAACUAUGGAAACAACAUCAAUUUUUAUCAAAGUUCCGGUACGUUUUAUCUCCAGCGUUUUAUUAUACUACACACUCUAUUAAACCGUCUCCAACUAUGACUUCGAAGUGUUUUAAAGGGCACAACGAUCAUUACAACGGCGUAACUGUCGAUUCAAAUGAGGAAUCUUGCGUACCAGAAGUAUUUGCUCAGCGUCUUAAAAUUUCCUUGCAAGAAUGGAUAAAAGAUAAAAAGCGUACCAUAUGGUUUCGAGUACAUUUAUCACAU